This 531-nucleotide ribosomal RNA is filed under the name uncultured bacterium. Its description in RNAcentral is "bacterial SSU rRNA". It matches the Rfam family "Bacterial small subunit ribosomal RNA", at positions 355 to 896 of the family's 1533-position model. The record is from RNAcentral.
UGGGGAAUAUUGCACAAUGGGCGAAAGCCUGAUGCAGCGACGCCGCGUGAGGGAUGACGGCCUUCGGGUUGUAAACCUCUUUCGACAGGGACGAAGCGCAAGUGACGGUACCUGUAGAAGAAGCACCGGCCAACUACGUGCCAGCAGCCGCGGUAAUACGUAGGGUGCGAGCGUUGUCCGGAAUUACUGGGCGUAAAGAGCUUGUAGGCGGUUUGUCGCGUCGUCUGUGAAAACUCACAGCUCAACUGUGAGCUUGCAGGCGAUACGGGCAGACUUGAGUACUGCAGGGGAGACUGGAAUUCCUGGUGUAGCGGUGAAAUGCGCAGAUAUCAGGAGGAACACCGGUGGCGAAGGCGGGUCUCUGGGCAGUAACUGACGCUGAGAAGCGAAAGCGUGGGUAGCGAACAGGAUUAGAUACCCUGGUAGUCCACGCCGUAAACGGUGGGUACUAGGUGUGGGUUUCCUUCCACGGGAUCCGUGCCGUAGCUAACGCAUUAAGUACCCCGCCUGGGGAGUACGGCCGCAAGGCUA